This 137-nucleotide microRNA precursor is filed under the name Hordeum vulgare. Its description in RNAcentral is "microRNA MIR1122". It matches the Rfam family "MIR1120/MIR1122 microRNA precursor family". The record is from RNAcentral. Lineage: Eukaryota; Viridiplantae; Streptophyta; Magnoliopsida; Poales; Poaceae.
AUCAUACUUUUCUCCGUCCCAAAAUUGUUGUCUUACAUUUGUCUAUAUAUGAAUGUAUCUAGUCAUGUUUUAGUAUUUGGAUACAUUUAUUUUUAGACAAACCUAAGACAAGAAUUUUGGAACAGAGGGAGUAUAUG